Molecule: ribosomal RNA, 445 nt
Filed under: uncultured bacterium
Lineage: Bacteria
Description: partial 16S ribosomal RNA
Rfam family: Bacterial small subunit ribosomal RNA
Source: RNAcentral
GUGAGGAAUAUUGGUCAAUGGGCGAGAGCCUGAACCAGCCAAGUCGCGUGAAGGAAGAAGGAUCUAUGGUUCGUAAACUUCUUUUGCAGGGGAAUAAAGUGCAGGACGUGUCCUGUUUUGUAUGUGCCCUGAGAAUAAGGAUCGGCUAACUCCGUGCCAGCAGCCGCGGUAAUACGGAGGAUCCGAGCGUUAUCCGGAUUUAUUGGGUUUAAAGGGUGCGUAGGUGGUUUGAUAAGUCAGCGGUGAAAGUUUGCAGCUUAACUGUAAAAAUGCCGUUGAAACUGUCGGACUUGAGUGUAAAUGAGGUAGGCGGAAUGCGUGGUGUAGCGGUGAAAUGCAUAGAUAUCACGCAGAACUCCGAUUGCGAAGGCAGCUUACUAAGCUACAACUGACACUGAAGCACGAAAGCGUGGGGAUCAAACAGGAUUAGAUACCCUUGUAGUCC